AAGGGGUGACGGCGUACCUUUUGUAUAAUGGGUCAGCGACUUACGUUCAGUAGCAAGCUUAACCGUAUAGGGCAGGCGUAGCGAAAGCGAGUCCGAAUAGGGCGUUCAGUUGCUGGGCGUAGACCCGAAACCAGGUGAUCUAUCCAUGGCCAGGAUGAAGGUGCGGUAACACGUACUGGAGGUCCGAACCCACUAACGUUGAAAAGUUAGGGGAUGAGCUGUGGAUAGGGGUGAAAGGCUAAACAAACCUGGAAAUAGCUGGUUCUCUCCGAAAACUAUUUAGGUAGUGCCUCGUGUCUCACCUUCGGGGGUAGAGCACUGUCAUGGUUGGGGGGUCUAUUGCAGAUUACCCCGCCAUAGCAAACUCCGAAUACCGAAGAGUGCAAUCACGGGAGACAGACAUCGGGUGCUAACGUCCGGUGUCAAGAGGGAAACAACCCAGACCGCCAGCUAAGGUCCCCAAAUAUAGCUAAGUGGGAAACGAAGUGGGAAGGCUAAAACAGUCAGGAGGUUGGCUUAGAAGCAGCCACCCUUUAAAGAAAGCGUAAUAGCUCACUGAUCGAGUCGUCCUGCGCGGAAGAUGUAACGGGGCUAAGCUAUAUACCGAAGCUGCGGAUGCGUGCUUGCACGCAUGGUAGGAGAGCGUUCCGUAAGCCUGCGAAGGUGCCUUGUAAAGGGUGCUGGAGGUAUCGGAAGUGCGAAUGCUGACAUGAGUAGCGAUAAAGGGGGUGAAAGGCCCCCUCGCCGUAAGCCCAAGGUUUCCUACGCAACGUUCAUCGGCGUAGGGUGAGUCGGCCCCUAAGGCGAGGCAGAAAUGCGUAGCUGAUGGGAAGCAGGUCAAUAUUCCUGCACCAUUGUUAGAUGCGAUGGGGGGACGGAUCGCGGAAGGUUGUCCGGGUGUUGGAAGUCCCGGUCGCUGCAUUGGAGAAGGCGCUUAGGCAAAUCCGGGCGCGUAAUUCAAGGGUGUGGCGCGAGCUCCUUAGGGAGCGAAGCAAUUGGAAGUGGUUCCAAGAAAAGCCUCUAAGCUUCAGUCUAACGAUGACCGUACCGCAAACCGACACAGGUGGGCGAGAUGAGUAUUCUAAGGCGCUUGAGAGAACUCGGGAGAAGGAACUCGGCAAAUUGGUACCGUAACUUCGGGAUAAGGUACGCCCUUGUAGCUUGACCAGCCUGCGCUGGAAGGGUGAAGGGGUUGCAAUAAACUGGUGGCUGCGACUGUUUAAUAAAAACACAGCACUCUGCAAACACGAAAGUGGACGUAUAGGGUGUGACGCCUGCCCGGUGCCGGAAGAUUAAAUGAUGGGGUGCAAGCUCUUGAUUGAAGUCCCGGUAAACGGCGGCCGUAACUAUAACGGUCCUAAGGUAGCGAAAUUCCUUGUCGGGUAAGUUCCGACCUGCACGAAUGGCGUAACGAUGGCCACACUGUCUCCUCCCGAGACUCAGCGAAGUUGAAGUGUUUGUGAUGAUGCAAUCUACCCGCGGCUAGACGGAAAGACCCCAUGAACCUUUACUGUAGCUUUGCAUUGGACUUUGAACCGAUCUGUGUAGGAUAGGUGGGAGGCUAUGAAACCGGAACGCUAGUUUCGGUGGAGCCGUCCUUGAAAUACCACCCUGGUUUGUUUGAGGUUCUAACCUUGGCCCGUGAUCCGGGUCGGGGACAGUGCAUGGUAGGCAGUUUGACUGGGGCGGUCUCCUCCCAAAGCGUAACGGAGGAGUACGAAGGUACGCUAGGUACGGUCGGAAAUCGUGCUGAUAGUGCAAUGGCAUAAGCGUGCUUAACUGCGAGACCGACAAGUCGAGCAGGUGCGAAAGCAGGUCAUAGUGAUCCGGUGGUUCUGUAUGGAAGGGCCAUCGCUCAACGGAUAAAAGGUACUCUGGGGAUAACAGGCUGAUACCGCCCAAGAGUUCAUAUCGACGGCGGUGUUUGGCACCUCGAUGUCGGCUCAUCUCAUCCUGGGGCUGUAGCCGGUCCCAAGGGUAUGGCUGUUCGCCAUUUAAAGAGGUACGUGAGCUGGGUUUAAAACGUCGUGAGACAGUUUGGUCCCUAUCUGCCGUGGGCGUUGGAUAUUUGAAGGGGGCUGCUCCUAGUACGAGAGGACCGGAGUGGACGAACCUCUGGUGUACCGGUUGUCACGCCAGUGGCAUCGCCGGGUAGCUAUGUUCGGAAGAGAUAACCGCUGAAAGCAUCUAAGCGGGAAACUCGCCUUAAGAUGAGAUAUCCCUGGGGACUAGAUCCCCUUGAAGGGUCGUUCGAGACCAGGACGUUGAUAGGUCAGGUGUGUAAGCGCAGUAAUGCGUUCAGCUAACUGAUACUAAUUGCCCGUAAGGCUUGAUCCU
This 2337-nucleotide ribosomal RNA is filed under the name Burkholderia cenocepacia. RNAcentral's name for it is "partial 23S ribosomal RNA". It matches the Rfam family "Bacterial large subunit ribosomal RNA", at positions 588 to 2925 of the family's 2925-position model. The record is from RNAcentral. Lineage: Bacteria; Pseudomonadati; Pseudomonadota; Betaproteobacteria; Burkholderiales; Burkholderiaceae.